This 421-nucleotide ribosomal RNA is filed under the name uncultured bacterium. RNAcentral's name for it is "bacterial SSU rRNA". It matches the Rfam family "Bacterial small subunit ribosomal RNA", at positions 355 to 774 of the family's 1533-position model. The record is from RNAcentral.
UAAGGAAUAUUGGUCAAUGGACGCAAGUCUGAACCAGCCAUGCCGCGUGAAGGAUGAAGGUCCUCUGGAUUGUAAACUUCUUUUAUCUGGGACGAAAACGGGAUUUUUAUCUCAAUUGACGGUACCAGAGGAAUAAGCACCGGCUAACUCCGUGCCAGCAGCCGCGGUAAUACGGAGGGUGCGAGCGUUAUCCGGAUUUACUGGGUUUAAAGGGUGCGUAGGUGGGCUUAUAAGUCAGUGGUGAAAUCUCCGAGCUUAACUUGGAAACUGCCGUUGAUACUAUAGGUCUUGAAUUAUCUGGAGGUCAGCGGAAUAUGUUAUGUAGCGGUGAAAUGCUUAGAUAUGACAUAGAACACCAAUUGCGAAGGCAGCUUACUACAUAUAAAUUGACGCUGAGGCACGAAAGCGUGGGGAUCAAACA